ACUUUCAUUUCUUCAUUUCUUAAGCUCCUUUGACCUUCAAACUCGUCCAUUCCUUGUGCUCCAAGCAUGUACUUUCCAAUCUAAGCUCCAUUUUGCUCCAAAAGGCUCCAAUUUGCAUCCUUUUAUGUAAUAUGCCCUUAAACCUGAAAACAUAUGAAACUAGCUUAAAAGACUACUUUAAACUAAGAAAACAUAACAAAAAUGCAUAAGAACUAGUUAACUAAGGUGCAUAAAUAUGCUCCUAUCAAAUUCCCCCACACUUAGCUUUUGCUAGUCCUCGAGCAAAACAAAGAAACAAAACAAAACAAAAACACAAUCUAAACCUUCCAACAAUUGCCUCAGGGAUUUUCAAUGCACGUGACAGAUUAAAAAUCAUCAUUCUCACAUAUUUUAGUCAUCUUUACACUUAAGCACAUACUUAAUCAUAAUCACCACUUACUUGUUCACAUUUAAGCAAUUAAAACAAUGUUUUUGAUGUAGUAACAUGCCUUAGAGAAUUCACUCAAUUCCUUACAAGAUAUGCACUCAAUUUUCACUCAGAUUUUUUAACUACACACCCUACACUAGUCAUAUGUGAGAAGAUUGAUGUAGAUAUGAAAACGAAUGCUCACAUAUAUGUAUUACCAAGAAAGCAAUUUCUAGAGUUAAUAAGCAUGUUUAGAUAUGAUCUCAUGAAUGGAAUGCUACUACUUAGAUGCGAGAACCAGGGACACCAUAUGUUCAUACCAAAUUCAAACUCCACAAAUUGAAACACAUAACACUCAAGAUGGAAGUCAAGGGUUGUAAUAGGGCUUGGGGUAUUGGUUAACAAAGAAUGGUAAGGGAAAACAACCGUUCUUAAAGGAAUAGUAAGCAGAGCACUGAAAUCUAGACUUAGAAUUCACUUUAGAAUGCAGAAAUCAACUUUUAGACACGAAGGGAAGAUUCAAGCAAUAUUUAGGGCCGAAUUCAAAGUUUUGGACGCUUUCUUCAACAAACAAUACUUUGGGACUCUUUUUCACAUCUUUGCAACUCCUUUUCAUUCUUUUCACACAAUGUUUCUUUUUCUUUUUCUUUUUCCACAAAUUUCAUUUUUUUUUUCUUCUUUUCUUGCCGUGUUCUAUGGCACCCAAAAUACCCAAAUUGAAACCUUUCCCCCACACUUGUUUUCUGCCAAAUAUAAAUCAAAAGGAAUUCAAUUUGAAUCAUGCUUUACUAUGCUUCAAGAACAAGGGUAUGGAUGGUCCUAAUCUAGGCUAGGUGAGGAUAAUGUGGGUUAACAAACAACAUAGGCUAAACAAGGCUCGACGGGGUUAAACUUAA
Molecule: long non-coding RNA, 1302 nt
Filed under: Malus domestica (apple)
Lineage: Eukaryota; Viridiplantae; Streptophyta; Magnoliopsida; Rosales; Rosaceae
Description: long non-coding RNA (MDOM_LNC001897)
Source: RNAcentral